Molecule: RNA transcript, 10679 nt
Organism: Aedes albopictus (Asian tiger mosquito)
Lineage: Eukaryota; Metazoa; Arthropoda; Insecta; Diptera; Culicidae
Gene name: mediator of RNA polymerase II transcription subunit 12
Exons: 7
Source: RefSeq, a predicted model, not a curated record
UGUAGACCUCACAAAUUCGUCUCCUGUCAUCAGCAGUAGCAGCAAAAGUGCGUACAAGCGAUCGAAAAAGUUUUGAUUUACGGUUGUAAAAAGUGUCGAGCGGUGCUCAAAGUAUUUGAAUUUUCUCGCCCGAAUCCCGCCGUGUCGGUUAGCAUCAUUUUGCGACGGUUUUGAACGUGUUCCGCGUGUGUUUUCCGCUUUUGUACGAGGUACCUCCAAGGUAAUUUUCCUUCACAUUCUGCGUGCCCCCGUCGUCAUCGUCGUCGUCGUCGUACAAACCCGGUCGCGAAGAUUCAGAUUUUCUUCUUGCUUUCGGUGUUUCUUACUCCUACUCGCAUACACAACGUAGAAAGAGAAGUUCUCUUUUUUUGUGUCCGCACUCCGCAAAGCAAGCGCGACUGUUUGUGUGUGUGAGUGAAGUGGUGUUUCAGCCUUCUUUUUGUUGGAAAGAAUCGCAAUCCAAAAGUGGAGUGAAAACGCUUUCGUUGACUCCUGGCUUUCACUGAUCUUGGUGGAGCUUGGUUUUUCAGUCCCGGAAGAUCGGGCCACCUUCAACUGGAUACGGUUCCGCACAGUUUUUAUCUGCCUUCUGUGGCAGUGAAUCGGUAGGGCUCGAAAAACAUCAAAAUCAAGCAAAAGGGCAUCGGUGAAUCGGUGUGCGUGUUCCAAAUCGUGUGUGUAUAGAGCAGAGCUAGUGGGUCGUGUUUCCGGUGGUGGUGCGGUGGAAGCAGCACUAGCCUUUUUUCCGUCUUUUUUAUUCGAAGGGGCAAGUGGAAAAGUGAAGAAGAGAUAACGAGCGCGGAGAUUUCCCGUUACAAAGCAGAGAGUUCGUACAAAUCUGAAAAAAAGGAAAUCAUUUUCCAGCUCCAGAUUCUUCAGCCGAGAAAUUAUUCACGAAAAGUUCUGAUUUCGUCGUAUUCGCUGGAAGACGAAAGAAUUUCUGUUCGUGUAAAAGUUGAGAAGAAUCGUCGCUCAUCCAGCGGAGUAGCAGCAUCAGCAGCAGUAGCUUGAGGAGCGGCCAGCAGUGGGAGUGAAGAUUUUCAUUGUCCGAAAAUUCGCAAACGUCAUCUUCUUCUCUUCAGAAGUGCUUCGCGGAGAACGGAGAAAUCGUCUGCCGUCUGUCGAUCGGACGGUAGUGAAAGGGAACGAAUUCAAUCCGGAAGCAACUGAAAUCGAACGUCUGAUCAAGGACUACAGAAGUAUACAUUGCCUCUGUCGUCUAAACCACGGACACGUUGACCUGAAAUUGCCAAACCGCAACUCAGGUGUCGGAACCGUUCUUACUGCCAGGCCAGCAAAACAGAGCCAGCCACUAGAAAAACUUUGCCGACACUGGGCGCAACAAAUCAAGACUGGUUGAGGUGCGCAACAGGCUUCCACACUUUUUCGCUGAUGAAGAUUCUCUGGCAGCAUGAAUGCAUUGGGGGGAACUAGGGGGGAGCGAAAUGCAAAGCCCAAAUUCGCAGCGUUAGACAUCAACAAACUCUACAGCACAAGUCGGGGAGAAUCUCUUGAACCAUCAACACAGAAAAGUGCAGCUCCUCGUAAACAUGGAAUGCAAAGUUUGGGAAAGGUUCCCUCGGCUCGUCGUCCGCCAGCAAACCUUCCGUCUCUGAAAGCCGAAAUCUCCAUUCCAUCGGAUCAGCAAGGCACCUGGGGAAGCGAAGCAGGAGACACCCAAAACAACAACUCUAGUAUUACUUCAUCUUCAGUAGGGCCGUCAGCAGCCGCCGGUAGCAGCACAAAUAACAACGCCUCGGUUGGUGCCGGAGGUGUUCACACUACUUCACACGCCAGCAGUCCACAGAUUCCCCACUCGAGCACAUCGUCCUCUUCACAAUGGAGUUCGAACGAGUUCCCCUCCCUGGAUGGCACUGGUCAGUAUGGUCCGAGCGGCAAACAGCAGCAUCAUCAUCACCACGAUGGCAUAGACGGCAGAGCGAUGGGGCAGUACAUGGAUGGUCCACAGGUCAGCCUGAGGCCUCAAACGGAUGCGGCGAGUUGGAUGCAGCAACAGCAGCAGAGCAGUGGGGGCGGAAACAACGCCGGAGGUAUGAACGGGCCAAACAGCAGCCAACAGGGCCAGGGCCCCCAACAGCAACCAGCUGCACCCCUGCCGCCACAGUUCCGGGCACUGAUGCCACCGUUCAUGUAUCGUGGCAACGGAGGCGGAGGUGGAAAUUCAGUUACACCGCCGCCUUCGAACGAGGAUAUCAGUCGUGGCAAUAUUGGCAGCGGUGGUGGAGGCAAUGGUGGUGGAGGUGGAGGUGGCAUGCGAAACAACAACAGCAACAUGGGAUACAACAGUAUGCUGCCAAGCUUCGUAGCUCCUCCGACGAAUCAUCACCAAUCUCAUGGAUCAAGCUAUUCGCCAACGCAGUCGGGUGGUAGGUACCGGGACUCCUAUUCAGGUGGACGCCGUGGCCAGAUGCAGCCGCCUCGUCUUGCCAAUAGGCAACAGCAACACCAGCACGAGGAUCAUCGCUCGCAACCGACUGCUCCCGCUUAUGUUGAACCGGAUAUCCUUGUUCAACGACCGAUUAUACGAGAUGAGGAGCUUCAGCGCAUUGAAGCCAUUGCAAAGGACGAAGGAUGGGCCAAGGAUGACGAAAUAGAUUACAACCAGAAACUGCAAUUCUCGGAUGAUGAAUCGGAACCAAGUCCACCGAAAGAAAUUCCAAUGCCAGUGGUUAAGCAAGAGAAAUCACCUCCGCAGGUGCAACAGCAACAGCAGCAAAUACAGCAGCAGCAGCAGCAACAACAGUCUCAACAGGAGGAUGACAAACGAAUGGCUUGGAGUCGCGAGGUGGAACGGGAACAAGAGAGGCUUGAACAGGAACGAAUUGAACGCAUUGAACGUGAACGGCAGGAACGAGAAAGAGAACAAUCGGCUGUUCGUCCAGUUCAGCAAAAUGGGCAUAUAGGUGGUCGCGGUUUGGAUGCGGAGGCCAAGGAGAGGUUGAAGCAACGGCGAGAAGAAGAUCAGCGACGAGAGAUGGAACGCAAGCAAGCGGCCGCUAGAAAGCUCCAAGAACUGGAACAAAAGUUAAGCCGGAAGAAGAAUGAAGAUGGUUCAGCGGGUUCUGCAGCCCCACCGGCUGCCACGAAAGAAGAGGAAGAUCGUGAUCAACUUGUAACAGGUUUUAACGAAUCUGGCGAAAGUAAGGAACGCAGCACAUCAAGCGUUCGCGGUGGGGAUCGUGAGAGAGGCGAAUCGAAAGAAUAUAGAGAUCGUGAUCGAGAUCGCUUCGAUUAUGGACGUCACGACAGAGAUUAUCGUGAUCGCGACAGGGGAGAACGAGAUAGAGCAGAGCGAGAUCGAACAGAAAGGCCAAGAGGAGAACAGGAUCGUGACCGUGAUGCUUGGGGUGAAGCACCGCCAUACUCCAAAAAUUUCCAGUCCAAUUUACCGCCACGUUUUCAGAAACGUAAACUUGAGCGAAAUCCAUCGGGAAAUAGCUUACAGGGAAGUGGAAGCUACAUGAAUAGAGAUCAGAACAUCAGUCGCAACAGUAGUACUGCCAAUCAAGGACCGAUGGUAUCGCAGUCACAGCAGCAGAGUGAGAGCAAAAGUGUCCCAUUCGCUCAACAGUACGAUCCACGAUUUAUCCAUAGUCAGCAAAACUAUGGAAAAAGUCAAUCAUCUGGGCCAGCUAGAAGACCGGCUCCUGGAGAGGACAAUUCACGUGGUCGUGAUUUGAGAGAUCGUGGAGAUGAUCGUGACUCGUUAACAAAAGAUAGGGAACAACAGCGAGAACGAGGAGAAAUGAUUCCCAGGGAGAUCAUGAAACGACGUAUCGACUCGGAAGAAGAUGAUCGUUUCAGCAGUAGUGGUAGAGAAUCAUCGAGUAAGCUCAGUGGAGGCAGAACUACACCACAGCUCGUCAGAAGUGUAUCCGAUACAUCUCAAAGGAAAACUAGUGUAUCUAGCGACGAUAACAAUCGUCAGAUGGAUCAUCACCAUCAUCAUAACAGUUCCAGAGAAAUCAUCGGUUCAUGGGAAAGUGAAACGGAGAAAGAAGAUCGACGACAGGCUGAAGCAGCAGCAGCGUUGGCAAAGGAAAACCAACUGCAGCAGCUACAGUUGCAACAGCAACAGUCGGAAAAUCGAAGAAUUUCCGAAUCUUCACUUUCUGAAGGAGAGCCGAAGCAAAUUCUCCAGCGAAUCAAAGAAUCUUCACCAGCGCUACAUGAAGAAUCGUCGAAAUCAAGAAACGAUGAAACGAAAGCAAAUGAGCCUAAGCUGUUGACAACGGCAUGGGAAGAAACGGUUGAAGCCGCAGAGGAAGCUCAAUUAAAAGCAUCUGAAGCGAGCUCGACUUCCAUUGAGGAUAAAAAAGAUGUGUCCAACUCGGAUAUGAAUAAAAGCGAUAGUGGAAAAUCCAUCGAUCAGGAGAACAAGAUGAGUAUUGAUAGUGGAAAGGAGAUGGAUGACGGCAAAUACGGUUCUAAGAAGCCGAUGCAAUCCCGAGGAGGCGGGCGCCAUGAACCUCGUGGAGGAGGACAUUCCCGAGGUGGUUUUAGCGGCAGCAGCGGAUUCCAUCGCGGGGGCAGUAGUGGUAGUUGGGGUCGUAGAGGUGGUCCUGGCGGCGCAAGGAUGGGUCAUGGCCGUAAUUACAACCAAGAUUAUUGGAGCGAAUCUGACUAUUCUGAUGAUGGCGAUGAAGAAUUUAGAAAGGAUGGAAAAUACGAACGCAAGGAAGGAAUGGGCAGUCAAUAUCGAAACAGUGGUUCAUCCGUUGGCCAAUCUCAAAAUAUGAAAGAAGGUUUUGCUCCUCGCGGUGAACCAUCCCGUAGAGGACGUGGAGGAAUGAGCACUGCUAUGAGUGGUCCCGGAUUCCGUAAAACCACAGUUGGCAAGAAAAUGGAUGGAUAUGGACCACCUAGUUCAAAGAGUCCUUUUGGAAGCAGCGAAGAGAAAGCAGAAUCAAAAAGCCAGUCUGCUCCAAAGGAUAUGAAGCCAACGGAUCAAACAUUGAGCGCGGAUGAUCGGACUAAGCAGAAACAAGCUGCUUUGAGCGCUGGGCUUACGAACAAACCGAUUGGUGGCCCAAAGCCACCUACCAGUGGACCACUGCCUCAAAGGAGCCCGUCCGGAAACAUGAAGCCACCCGGCAAACCGGCUGAAGAAACACUUUCCGAUCAAGAAAAACUGAAAGCAUCUUUGGAGAAGAAAACACGAAAUGAUAGCAAAUCAGAAUCUCACGACGAGAAGAUGAAAGAAAAGCAGAAAACAGAAAGCGAAAGUCAUGAUACGGACGAUGCAAGUAAGGAUAGCCAGAAAUCUGGUCAACCUCGUCCUAAACAGCAGCAACCGCCUGGCAUCAAAGCAGUGCAGCCUAGUACAACGGCACCUGUGGUGAAAGCUACGACUACGACGCCAAAACCAACUACCGUUGUCCCGUCAGGAGCAACGCCAACCGGCCCAAAGCCGACAGCACCGGCAGCCCCCGGAAUGCAACAGGCAAAGCCGAAUCAAGAUGCAAGAGCUCAAGCAAAUAAUCGAUCAAUGAACAUGACGCCACGUAUGGUGAAACCAAAGGAACGACGUGACGGUGGAUUCCAGGAUGGCCAACUGAGCGGAGGCGAAGUCAAUGAGUCUGAAGCAAACGUUGUUGCUAGUUCCCAGCAGCAACCAGUGCAAGAGAAAGUAAACACGUUGAACGUCAACUCUUUAAAGACUGAUAAUAGUAAGCAACAUUUAGACGGAGCUACGCCACCCGUAAACACGAUCAUUUUUGAAAACACGAACUAUAAGUCUUCGACAUCUGUUGUUUCUACAGUGCAACAGCAGCAUCUUCAUCAACAGCAACAGCAACAACAACCGCAACAACCACUGCAAAUUCAAAUGCAACAGCAACAACAGCAGCUGCCACAGGCUCCUUCUGCACAAGCCCAAAUCAAACGACAGCACUCGGGAGGUGUACCCGGUCAGCUGAUGGCACUCCAUCAACAGCAACAGCAGCAACAACAACAACUUCAGCAUCAGCAGCAACAAAUGGUGCAAAUGGUUAAACAAGAUCAUGUUGUUCGACACCCAUCACAGGAAGAUGCGUUCAAGGUCGCAGCUGGUGUUCCUCAGGCAGGGUCUAUGCACGACAUUAUGGAACAACAACAACAACCACCACAAAGGCCGCAGUCGGCAAACGGCCCGCAGCAACAACAGCCACAACCGCAACAACAGCAACAAUUACAGCAAAAUCAAGUACCAUUGCAGCAGCAAAUUCCUCAACAGCAACAGCCUAGUUCCCAAGCCGAUGUUAUAACUAGUGCACUUCACAAUAUGGCGUUCCCCAAACCUGCGGAAGCCGACUACGACAAAGAGAUGAAACCAUUCACAUUCGAUGCGGAUAUUUCGCAACUGAUCGAAGCAAAGAAUAAGGCAGCCGGACUCUGUCUUCCCAAAGCACAGAACAUGAUUUCACCAUCAACGGCCGAGUUGAAUAUGAAAAUUGCCAGCGUGAAAAAAGUAUGGGAGAUGCCUAGUGUUCCAGAGCACGUUACAGAGGAUCCCUCCAGUGCGGCCAACGCGGCUGCUGCAGCUGUGCAACUGGCAGCCAAUUUCGCAGCCGUAAAUUCGCAGCAUCAACAUCAACAGCAUCUCCAUCAGUUCCAACACUCGCACAGCAAUUUGUCCCAUGCUCAUCAGGCCCAUACUUUGGCCGCUGCGGCGGCUGCUGGUCAAUCGUACGCGGGAGCAUUCGGACAAGAUCAGCAAUCACUUGAUCAGCAUUUCAAUAAGGCCAAUAAUGAAAGCGUCGUGAUUGGAGGUACGGGUGGAGGAAACGAUGGAGACAACAGUUAUAACAACCCACAACAUGCAGUUGUUGGUCAGGGUAAUAACGUUCAGCAUCAGGCUGCUGCUAACAUGAACAUGAAACACGAUGUUCUGGCUAAUAAUGUUAAUGUUUGUAAGGUGAAACCAACCCAACAGAACAUGCAUCAGUCGACAGGUCUAGGUCUGUCGCCUCCCCCGAUGCAGCAAGGUACUAUUCCAUCCGCGCCUCAAACUUAUUUCCAACCAUCUCAGUAUGGAAUGUCCGCGAUUCCUUCGCCACCGGCCGUAAUUUAUAAUUCGUCAGCAAUUUCUCAAGGUGGGCUUUAUAAUGCAUUCCAAUUAGAGGCAGCAAAUCGAUCGCAAUUUUCACAAUUUCCCGGUCAUUACGGCACUACAGGAACUGGUCCUUACAACGCGUACAUGACGACGCCUCCGAAUCUGCAAACUGCUCCAACGCCGGAGAUGUAUCCGAGUCUUACUUCGCAGUUCCGGAUGGGUGGUGCCGUUCAAAGUCCGUACAAUCCUUCACCUUCGCAACAGAUGAACAAUCCCAGCACGAUGCUGAUCUCAUCGAGCACAAAUUCACUCAUGUCGUCGUCGGUGAAACCUUCGUCCCAACAAAUCGGUGCAAUAGGCUCUAAGAGUGGAUCGGUUGGUCAACCCUAUGGACAGCAAUACAUGGGUAUGUUCCAACCGGCUCCCCCACUGCAAAACAACAGCUACUACUCCAACUCCGCUGGAGGCCAAAGUGCAUUCUUUGGCGGAGCUGGCGCUACACAAAACUAUGGCAUCCCGGCCGCAGCUGCCGCUGGAAUGUUCGGUGGUCACGGAGCACAGACGCCAUCCAACGCUCCGCCCCCGCAACAGCAACUUCCGAACUAUCCGAACGCAUCGCAGUUUUUGAACACUCCGUUGGCCCUGGCGGCUAAUGCCAUUUCGCAGCAAUACCGCGGAGGACCCACGACGAAUCCACAAUCGGCCGCUGCAGCUGCAGCCUACAUGAAAGGAAACCAACCGCAAUCGCAUAUGCAGGAUCCCAAUGGUCGGCAGCUGAAAAGCCCUUUGAAUUCUGAUGGAAUGAAUAAUUUAAAACAGAUUCCACCCCAAGCGAGUCCUCCACAUCAUAAGGGUUACGCCGCAGCAUGGGAGUUACAACUUCAACAGCAGCAGCAACAAAAUCAACAUUCUAACCAGCAGCAGCAGCCACCACAACAGCAGAACCCACAGCAACAUCCGCAGCAACAAAUGAAUCAGCCUCCGCAGUCUCAGCAGCCCAACCCGAACCGAAACAUGAUGCCUCCCAAUCAGCAACCUCCGGCCGGACUCGGAGGUGCCGCCGGGGGUGUAGGUGGUCGACCGCCACAAGGCGUACAGGGUGGUGGCAUGCCUCAGCGAUACCCGUCCCCGAUCCAACGACCGACCAACUACUCGCAAGCACCUGUACCGGGAAUGCACCAGCAGCGACCAAUUCGUCAGUCGGGUGGCCAUAACCCGGGCCAACAGCAACAGGCAAACAUGGCGCAAGCGAUGGGCAACCCCAACAAACAUUACUACGGAGGAAAUCGAGGUUAGUUCUCCCAAAACUGGUUCAACUCGACUCGCUUAAGCUAUUGCAGUACAUGGGUGGUGGUCACGUUAAUGCAAUGAACGAACAAAACCUUGGCGGAAAACCUGGCGGCGCAAACGAUAAGCCAGUUAUGGAUGGAGAUGUUAACAAGGAUGAUUCCAAGAAAAAGUAAACGAUAAAUCAAAACUGAUCUUCAAUGGAGUGUAGGUGAGAAUUGAUUACUUAGAGGAAAGUUUCUAGAGAAAGUAAUGUGGGAUAUUAAAAUACAUUUUGGGUCGAAUAUAAUAGAACUGAGUUCAAUUUACUGGAUGAGAGAAAAAGUAUUCAAUUGAAAGUUGUCACAAAAUGGCGAAAAAUACAUAAAUAGAGAGUAACAAGGUGCGUAGACGAUUCCGAAAGUCAAUGUAAUCUACACGAAAAAUAUGUAUUAUUGGUAAACAAAUAAAUACCUAUUUAUUAAAUGAAAUAGUUAAUGGAAAUCAUCGGAAAUUGAUUAACCACACAGUAAUCCACAAGGAAAACAAACCGCGACAUUAGUUCUGGCAACGCUAAAGCUUACACUAAAUCGUAUCAAACCAUAAAAAUCAACAUCUGAAUAUACCUAUCUAAUGCAUUCAGCGGAACGAUCACAAAUAGACAAACGAUUCUAUUUGUUUGAACUGGUACUACGUAAUACUGCUAUACAAUGCUUAACGUGCUCCCAGGUAUCAGUGAAAUGGAUCGGUUUGACUGAGUUUCACUAUAAACGCAAAGUAAAAUCUUGAACCUACUUAAUUUAUGACACGAUUCUUCUUUUAUGACAUACAGUAGCUGUUUUCUACGACAGUACAAUUAAAGCAGGGACGAAUGAUGCUGAAUUAGUUUCUGAUUAUUUCUUACGGAGAAUGUCAGCAGAUUAAAAUUCAUCAGCGCGAUUCACUGCAUGAUUUUGGACGACUGCAAAGGUAGAUGAGAAAGAAAAUACAUUACCUAUUAUCUAUUCUGCAAUACAUACAAAUUUACAGACUCGAUUAAUCUGCCCCUUUAAAAUGUUGGCAAAUCUUGAAACGCGUAUUAAAUGCAAAGAGAUCGAGGCAGAAAAUUCAACCGGCAUGGCUACCGUAAUACAACAAGCAAAAUGAUUGCUGCUGACACGGCAAAUGGGAUUCGGCGAGAAAAUAUAAACAAUAUAACUGCUACUACUGCUACUUUCAAACGACAGUUUUCGUUGGAACGGCUGACAGCUUCCAGUUGCAUGCAACCAGGCUGCAAUUCUGAAUUUGUGGAAAGUUCAGCCGCUACCUUGAUUGAAAAUUAUCUGUUCUCCGAAACGGAUAUUUUCCGGCAAAUUAAAUCAAUCCUUACAUAACAGAUACCAUUAAGAAAAAAAAAACAAAUAUUCGAUGGAAGUAAACAAGUAUGUCUACUCAGAAGACUAUUAGCUUAAUACAAUUAUAAGAGAAUAAACAAGAAAUGCUGAAACACAUAAGUAAUUAAUGCAUGAUACAACAACUACAUAUAAAUGAUAAACAGAAACAAGUUUCAAACGAUUAUACUAGUAAUUCACUUUAUUAUAAUUAUUCUUAACGAUAACACAAAUACGUGAAAUAUAUUCGAGUAUAAUCUUUAUUUUGCCGUAACAUUUUUUUUGCGUAUUUUGAUCAAAGCAAAUCCAGGUAUAAUAAAAAGGAUCAUCCCAUUGCCUUUGUUCAUUUUAAUUAUAUGCAUCAUAGACGACUAUUACCUACGCAUCAAUGAGCCAAACUUUCUAUUCAACGUAAAAACAUCAACGCAAAAUCACCACAGAUUACGUGAUUUAAAGCAUGAAUGAGAAAAAUAUUACAUAACAGGAAAAAAAACAAUGCUGGAAACACGCUAAAUUGAUAGUUUAAACUGGGCUAGGAUGAUGGAUAAGAAUUUAAAUUUGCAGAUCAAGGCAAAAAGUUUUAGUUUAUGUUCAGAGGAAAAAUGUUUUAUUUAUUUUCUAUCUUAAUACUUAUAAUUCACUGCUGAAUUAAAACAAAAUGAGAUGAUGUUAGCGGAAAAAAAUCACAAACACAUACACACGCAUAUACACAGCAAAACAAACUGUAUGAGUAAUUCACACUUACACACACAAUUAGAAGGUUGAAUUGACUAGAAAGAAACGAGGAAUGGUUAAAACUUAUAUAUGUAUCAGAAAGGCAAGAUGGAGCAACAGUAAUAGAUGAAUGCUAAUGGAAAACUGAGAAAAAUGAGUACAUUCAAGUAUCUAAAACAAUUCAAACAAACAAAAAAAAAGUUUAUAAAAUUUUGAAAAAUGACAAGAAAAAAAUAAUAAAAAUCGAUAAACCGAAAAUCUAGAAAACCACAAAA